Molecule: non-coding RNA, 556 nt
Organism: Ceratotherium simum simum (southern white rhinoceros)
Lineage: Eukaryota; Metazoa; Chordata; Mammalia; Perissodactyla; Rhinocerotidae
Source: the annotation of a RefSeq genome assembly
ACAGAAUGAAGAUCACCAAGGCUUCCAAAACAAAAGAAGCAGAAGAUCUAGAACAGUGAACUAAGCCCAUUGAACAUGGUCAGUUCCAAGCCUCCGAACUGAAUCUUCAGAGACUCCAGGAAGAACAAGAAUGGAGACUCUCCUGCGGGGUUCAGUGAUGCUCCUGUGUGUGCAGCUAACUUGGUCAAACGCAAAAACAAGGCCGGUGGAACAGAGCCCUCCGUCCCUGAAAAUCAAGGAAGGCGAGAGCUUCACACUGAACUGCAGUUACAAAGGCAGCUAUCCCGAUUUCUUCCAAUGGUUUGGGCAGGAUCCUGGGGAAGGCCUCAGCUCUCUGAUACAAAUGCGUUCAAAUGAGAAAGAGAAGUUCAGCGGAAGAUUCACAAGCGGGCUAGACAAAGAGGGCCGGCACUUUUCCCUGCACGUGGAGGAUUCCGGGCUCCGGGACUCAACCACGUUCUUGUGUGCAGUGAGCACAGUGCGGCUCGUGCACCUGCGGCCCGUGCCCAAACCCUGCCCGGCCCUGCACCUCCUUCUAGAAGGGCUCCAGGGCUGA